GGUAACAGGAAACAGCUUGCUGUUUCGCUGACGAGUGGCGGACGGGUGAGUAAUGUCUGGGAAACUGCCUGAUGGAGGGGGAUAACUACUGGAAACGGUAGCUAAUACCGCAUAACGUCGCAAGACCAAAGAGGGGGACCUUCGGGCCUCUUGCCAUCAGAUGUGCCCAGAUGGGAUUAGCUAGUAGGUGGGGUAACGGCUCACCUAGGCGACGAUCCCUAGCUGGUCUGAGAGGAUGACCAGCCACACUGGAACUGAGACACGGUCCAGACUCCUACGGGAGGCAGCAGUGGGGAAUAUUGCACAAUGGGCGCAAGCCUGAUGCAGCCAUGCCGCGUGUAUGAAGAAGGCCUUCGGGUUGUAAAGUACUUUCAGCGGGGAGGAAGGGAGUAAAGUUAAUACCUUUGCUCAUUGACGUUACCCGCAGAAGAAGCACCGGCUAACUCCGUGCCAGCAGCCGCGGUAAUACGGAGGGUGCAAGCGUUAAUCGGAAUUACUGGGCGUAAAGCGCACGCAGGCGGUUUGUUAAGUCAGAUGUGAAAUCCCCGGGCUCAACCUGGGAACUGCAUCUGAUACUGGCAAGCUUGAGUCUCGUAGAGGGGGGUAGAAUUCCAGGUGUAGCGGUGAAAUGCGUAGAGAUCUGGAGGAAUACCGGUGGCGAA
Molecule: ribosomal RNA, 662 nt
Filed under: uncultured Pseudomonadota bacterium
Lineage: Bacteria; Pseudomonadati; Pseudomonadota
Description: bacterial SSU rRNA
Rfam family: Bacterial small subunit ribosomal RNA
Source: RNAcentral